This is a non-coding RNA of Triticum aestivum (bread wheat), 135 nucleotides long. Lineage: Eukaryota; Viridiplantae; Streptophyta; Magnoliopsida; Poales; Poaceae. The record is from Rfam.
GUAGUAUUCCCUCCGUCCCAAAAUUCUUGUCUUACAUUUGUUUAGAUACGGAUGUAUCUAACACUAAAAUGUAACUAGAUACAUCCGUAUUUAGACAAAUUUAAGACAAGAAUUUUGGGACGGAGGGAAUACAAA